This 378-nucleotide ribosomal RNA is filed under the name Sclerophrys sp. HCL-2014. RNAcentral describes it as "partial 12S ribosomal RNA". It matches the Rfam family "Bacterial small subunit ribosomal RNA", at positions 794 to 1384 of the family's 1533-position model. Lineage: Eukaryota; Metazoa; Chordata; Amphibia; Anura; Bufonidae. The record is from RNAcentral.
GCCCAGUCGUAAACUUUUACUUACAUUUUAAUCGCCAGGGAACUACGAGCUAAGCUUAAAACCCAAAGGACUUGACGGUACCCCAUAUCCCCCUAGAGGAGCCUGUCCUAUAAUCGAUAAUCCACGUUUAACCUCACCAUUUUUAGUUAAUCAGCCUGUAUACCUCCGUCGUCAGCUUACCACGUGAGCGCCAAUUAGUGAGCCUAAUGUUAUUUCACCAACACGUCAGGUCAAGGUGCAGCAAAUGAAAUGGGAAGAGAUGGGCUACACUUUCUAUUAUAGAAGAAACGAAAAACUACCUAUGAAACCUAGUUGGAAGGCGGAUUUAGCAGUAAAAAGGAAUCAGCAUAUCCAUUUUAACCCGGCACUGGGGUGUGU